UACGGAGGGGGCAAGCGUUGUUCGGAAUCAUUGGGCGUAAAGGGCGUGUAGGCGGUCGAUCGAGUCGGAGGUGAAAUCCCUCGGCUCAACUGAGGAAUUGCCUUCGAUACUGUUCGGCUUGAGUCCUGGAGAGGGUAGCGGAAUUCCCGGUGUAGCGGUGAAAUGCGUAGAGACCGGGAAGAACACCAGUGGCGAAGGCGGCUACCUGGACAGGUACUGACGCUAACAGCGCGAAAGCUAGGGGAGCAAACAGG
RNAcentral lists this ribosomal RNA (254 nucleotides) under uncultured bacterium. RNAcentral's name for it is "partial 16S ribosomal RNA". It matches the Rfam family "Bacterial small subunit ribosomal RNA", at positions 524 to 776 of the family's 1533-position model. The record is from RNAcentral.